AUUGAACGCUGGCGGAAUGCUUUACACAUGCAAGUCGAACGGCAGCAUAGGUGCUUGCACCUGAUGGCGAGUGGCGAACGGGUGAGUAAUACAUCGGAACGUACCUUAUCGUGGGGGAUAACGCAGCGAAAGCUGUGCUAAUACCGCAUACGCCCUGAGGGGGAAAGCGGGGGAUCGAAAGACCUCGCGCGAUUAGAGCGGCCGAUGCCUGAUUAGCUUGUUGGUGGGGUAAAAGCCCACCAAGGCGACGAUCAGUAGCUGGUCUGAGAGGACGAUCAGCCACACUGGGACUGAGACACGGCCCAGACUCCUACGGGAGGCAGCAGUGGGGAAUUUUGGACAAUGGGGGCAACCCUGAUCCAGCCAUGCCGCGUGUGUGAAGAAGGCCUUCGGGUUGUAAAGCACUUUAAGCAGGGAGGAAGGUUUGCUGGUUAAUACCUGGCAAAAUUGACGUUACCUGCAGAAUAAGCACCGGCUAACUCUGUGCCAGCCGCCGCAGUAA
This 502-nucleotide ribosomal RNA is filed under the name uncultured bacterium. RNAcentral describes it as "partial 16S ribosomal RNA". It matches the Rfam family "Bacterial small subunit ribosomal RNA", at positions 30 to 523 of the family's 1533-position model. The record is from RNAcentral.